AUUGUGCUUUUGUGUGAGGACCUUGUUGAUCUAGUUAAAUUAAUUAAUUAUAGUUUGCAAGGGUUGAUGUUAAAUAUGAAGAGAUAAUUGAAGCAACUUCAAUUGGCUCCAGCAAAGUCUUAUGGUCCUGCACUGCUCAGUUGCAGCUGCUACUGACAGGAGACGACUUCUGUGGUAUAAGAUUAAGAUUUAUGUACUGCCAUGAGCCUCCUACUUGAGGUUAUUCGUUAGGAAGUGUUGCAGCAUCAAAGGGUUGCAGCCUUGGGGAGGAACAGUCUUGAUGUUUAAAUUUUGAUGGGUUUAGUAAUUUUUUAGUUUGUGUAGUUUGGUACUUUUUAAAAUACAGUAUACAG
Long non-coding RNA from Rosa rugosa (rugosa rose), 353 nucleotides. RefSeq lists it as uncharacterized. Lineage: Eukaryota; Viridiplantae; Streptophyta; Magnoliopsida; Rosales; Rosaceae. The transcript is spliced from 3 exons. The record is from RefSeq and is a predicted model, not a curated record.